RNAcentral lists this ribosomal RNA (431 nucleotides) under uncultured bacterium. Its description in RNAcentral is "bacterial SSU rRNA". It matches the Rfam family "Bacterial small subunit ribosomal RNA", at positions 29 to 506 of the family's 1533-position model. The record is from RNAcentral.
GUGAACGCUGGCGGCGUGGAUGAGGCAUGCAAGUCGAAUGGGUUUAGACCCAUGGCAGACGAGGUAGUAACAUGUAGGUACGUACCGAAGAGUCGGGGAUAACCUGCCGAAAGGCAGAAUAAUACUCGAUGGUCCCGCAAGGGUAAAGAUUUAUCGCUCUUUGAACGGCCUGCACUCUAUCAGCUUGUUGGUAAGGUAACGGCUUACCAAGGCUACGACGGAUAGGGGAGCUGAGAGGCUGACCCCCACCGAUGGAACUGAGACACGGUCCUUACUCCUACGGGAGGCUGCAGUCGAGAAUCUUCCGCAAUGGACGAAAGUCUGACGGAGCGACGCCGCGUGGUGGAUGAAGUCCUUAGGGACGUAAACACCUUUUAUGAGGGAAGAAGUUUAUUGACGGUACCUCAUGAAUAAGGGGCUCCCAAUUCUGU